GCAGUGUGCACCACCGUGGGAAUGGGCUCU
This 30-nucleotide non-coding RNA is filed under the name Homo sapiens (human). Lineage: Eukaryota; Metazoa; Chordata; Mammalia; Primates; Hominidae. The record is from RNAcentral.